This is a ribosomal RNA of 278 nucleotides. The stretch from base 92 to 278 matches the Rfam family "Eukaryotic small subunit ribosomal RNA", at positions 734 to 919 of the family's 1831-position model.
GUCGGGCGGCGGCCAGUGGUUCGGUUCCGUGCCGAUACUGUUGGUCGCGGCCUCCACGCCGGUCGUCUUUCGGUGCUCUUAACUGAGUGCCUUAAGUAGCCGGGCAGGUUUACUUUGAAAAAAUUAGAGUGUUCAAGGCAGGCUUCACACGCCUGAAUGAUGGUGCAUGGAAUAAUGGAAUAGGACCUCGGUUCUAUUUUGUUGGUCUUCGGAACUGGAGGUAAUGAUUAAUAGGGACGGACGGGAGCAUUCGUAUUGCGGCGUUAGAGGUGAAAUUC